Molecule: ribosomal RNA, 626 nt
Filed under: uncultured bacterium
Lineage: Bacteria
Description: bacterial SSU rRNA
Rfam family: Bacterial small subunit ribosomal RNA
Source: RNAcentral
CAUGCAAGUCGAGCGGGGGAAGGUAGCUUGCUACCGGACCUAGCGGCGGACGGGUGAGUAAUGCUUAGGAAUCUGCCUAUUAGUGGGGGACAACAUCUCGAAAGGGAUGCUAAUACCGCAUACGUCCUACGGGAGAAAGCAGGGGAUCUUCGGACCUUGCGCUAAUAGAUGAGCCUAAGUCGGAUUAGCUAGUUGGUGGGGUAAAGGCCUACCAAGGCGACGAUCUGUAGCGGGUCUGAGAGGAUGAUCCGCCACAUUGGGACUGAGACACGGCCCAAACUCCUACGGGAGGCAGCAGUGGGGAAUAUUGGACAAUGGGCGCAAGCCUGAUCCAGCCAUGCCGCGUGAGUGAUGAAGGUCUUAGGAUUGUAAAGCUCUUUCACCGGAGAAGAUAAUGACGGUAUCCGGAGAAGAAGCCCCGGCUAACUUCGUGCCAGCAGCCGCGGUAAUACGAAGGGGGCUAGCGUUGUUCGGAAUUACUGGGCGUAAAGCGCACGUAGGCGGGUAUUUAAGUCAGGGGUGAAAUCCCAGAGCUCAACUCUGGAACUGCCUUUGAUACUGGGUAUCUUGAGUAUGGAAGAGGUAAGUGGAAUUGCGAGUGUAGAGGUGAAAUUCGUAGAUAUUCG